GUAAUGGUGUCUUUAGACACCACCCUUUAUCUUUAAAUUAUUUUGU
Picea glauca (white spruce) is the source of this 46-nucleotide non-coding RNA. Lineage: Eukaryota; Viridiplantae; Streptophyta; Pinopsida; Pinales; Pinaceae. The record is from Rfam.